CACGUAGGGCGCAAGCGUUGUCCGGAAUUAUUGGGCGUAAAGGGCGCGUAGGCGGCCACGCACGUCCGUUGUGAAAUCGCCCGGCUCAACUGGGCGGGGUCAGCGGAUACGGUGUGGCUCGAGCAAGCUAGGGGGCAAUGGAAUUCCCGGUGUAGUGGUGGAAUGCGUAGAUAUCGGGAGGAACACCAGUGGCGAAGGCGGUUGCCUGGAGCUUUGCUGACGCUGAGGCGCGAAAGCGUGGGGAGCGAUCCGG
This 253-nucleotide ribosomal RNA is filed under the name uncultured bacterium. RNAcentral describes it as "partial 16S ribosomal RNA". It matches the Rfam family "Bacterial small subunit ribosomal RNA", at positions 524 to 776 of the family's 1533-position model. The record is from RNAcentral.